GUAAGGAAUCUUGCACAAUGGGCGAAAGCCUGAUGCAGCGACGCCGCGUGGGUGAUGGAGGCCUUCGGGUCGUAAAGCCCUGUGGGGAGGGAAGAACAGCCGCAAGGUUUGACGGUACCUCCUUAGCAAGCACCGGCCAACUACGUGCCAGCAGCCGCGGUAAGACGUAGGGUGCAAACGUUGCUCGGAAUCACUGGGCGUAAAGCGCGUGUAGGCGGCCGAGCGUGUCGAGCGUGAAAGCCCUUGGCUCAACUGAGGAACUGCGUUCGAAACUGCCCGGCUGGAGGGUGAGAGAGGGGGAUGGAAUUCCCGGUGUAGAGGUGAAAUUCGUAGAUAUCGGGAGGAACACCAAUAGCGAAGGCAGUCCCCUGGACCAUUUCUGACGCUGAGACGCGAAAGCGUGGGGAGCAAACAGGAUUAGAAACCCCUGUAGUCC
This 436-nucleotide ribosomal RNA is filed under the name uncultured bacterium. Its description in RNAcentral is "bacterial SSU rRNA". It matches the Rfam family "Bacterial small subunit ribosomal RNA", at positions 354 to 796 of the family's 1533-position model. The record is from RNAcentral.